AGUUUUUCUUCGAACAUCUUGCACUAAAGCUUCCGAUAUACCAACCAACACACAAGAAUCGGAUAAUACAGCAGCCGGAACGAUAAAAAAUUGAAUAUUACGCCUUAUAAACAUGGGGGGAAGUGGCACAGGCAAAUGAAACUUUAUGAAAACCAACGAAUCUGGUGGCCGGAACGAUAAAAAGCAAGUUGAAUAUUACGCCUUAUAAACACGGGUGGAAGUGGCACAGGCAAAUGAAACUUUAUGAAAACCAACGAAUCUGGUGGCCGGAACGAUAAAAAGCAAGAACGCGAUAAAAACUGCACACAAGCAAAAUCGACGCGAAAAAUAGAGAUUUCGGCUAAUCGAUACUUUAAAGCGCUUCAAGCAAGUGAAGUAAAGCUGCCACUAGGCCAACUUUCAUACAUUUUAGUAGAUUUUAAAAAUUGUUUGACAGUUCUCAAAGCCAAGCAAGCAAAGCAAGCGUGCAUUG
This is a long non-coding RNA of Rhagoletis pomonella (apple maggot), 472 nucleotides long. RefSeq lists it as uncharacterized. The record is from RefSeq and is a predicted model, not a curated record. The transcript is spliced from 4 exons. NCBI's taxonomy places the organism in Eukaryota, Metazoa, Arthropoda, Insecta, Diptera, Tephritidae.